AAAGCAGUCUAUAGCAAGGGCCGGGCAAGACCGGUGCCAGCCGCCGCGGUAACACCGGCGGCUCGAGUGGUAACCGCUGUUAUUGGGUCUAAAGGGUCUGUAGCCUGCCGGCUAAGUCUCGGCACCGCGAUAAGGGGACCUCGAGUGCUGGGUUACAAACCUGGCUGUUGGGCUGCCUAAAACCGGAUUAGAUACCCGGGUAGUCCUAGCCGUAAACGAUACUCGCUAGGUGUCGGCCACUUGGGAAAUCUGGCAUCUCAAGUGUCAGGCUGCCAGGGGAUACUGGUCAGCUUGGGACCGGGAGAGGUGAGAGGUACCUCAGGGGUAGGGGUGAAAUCUUGUAAUCCUUGAGGGACCACCGGUGCGACCGUGGUCGGUGCCGUAGGGAGUGGCGAAGGCGUCUCACCAGAACGGAUCCGACGGCAAGGGACGAAAGCUAGGGGCACG
Molecule: ribosomal RNA, 447 nt
Filed under: uncultured bacterium
Lineage: Bacteria
Description: partial 16S ribosomal RNA
Rfam family: Archaeal small subunit ribosomal RNA
Source: RNAcentral